UUUGAUCAUGGCUCAGAUUGAACGCUGGCGGCGCCUAACACAUGCAAGUCGAACGGUAGCACAGAGAGCUUGCUCUCGGGUGACGAGUGGCGGACGGGUGAGUAAUGUCUGGGAAACUGCCUGAUGGAGGGGGAUAACUACUGGAAACGGUAGCUAAUACCGCAUAACGUCUUCGGACCAAAGUGGGGGACCUUCGGGCCUCACACCAUCGGAUGUGCCCAGAUGGGAUUAGCUAGUAGGUGGGGUAAUGGCUCACCUAGGCGACGAUCCCUAGCUGGUCUGAGAGGAUGACCAGCCACACUGGAACUGAGACACGGUCCAGACUCCUACGGGAGGCAGCAGUGGGGAAUAUUGCACAAUGGGCGCAAGCCUGAUGCAGCCAUGCCGCGUGUAUGAAGAAGGCCUUCGGGUUGUAAAGUACUUUCAGCGGGGAGGAAGGCGAUAAGGUUAAUAACCUUGUCGAUUGACGUUACCCGCAGAAGAAGCACCGGCUAACUCCGUGCCAGCAGCCGCGGUAAUAC
Molecule: ribosomal RNA, 521 nt
Filed under: uncultured Klebsiella sp.
Lineage: Bacteria; Pseudomonadati; Pseudomonadota; Gammaproteobacteria; Enterobacterales; Enterobacteriaceae
Description: bacterial SSU rRNA
Rfam family: Bacterial small subunit ribosomal RNA
Source: RNAcentral